This 2485-nucleotide long non-coding RNA is filed under the name Homo sapiens (human). RNAcentral describes it as "HSALNT0340660". Lineage: Eukaryota; Metazoa; Chordata; Mammalia; Primates; Hominidae. The record is from RNAcentral.
CUGUAACGCUCACUGCGAAGGUCUGUGGCUUCACUCCUGAAGUCAGCAAGACCACGAACCCACCGGAAGGAGGAAACAACUCCGGAAGCACCACGUUUAAGAGCUGUAACACUCACUGCGAAAGUCUGCAGCUUCACUCCUGAAGUCAGCAAGACCACAAACCCACCGGAAGGAAGAAAUUCCAGACACAUCUAAACAUUGGAAGGAACAAACUCCAGACACACUAUCUUUAAGAACUGUAACACUCACCGCGAGGGUCUGUGGCUUCAUGCUUGAAGUCAGCCGGACCAAGAACCCACCGGAAAGAACCAAUUCCUGACACAAUCGUUCUUCAUGGUCUAUGACUCCAAGGUCUGAAAUGAUCUCAUUUACCCCACAUGAUAGAUGUGGCCCUUCCAGAUGAGGAGUUCAACAAGACUACAUGGUAGAGCAGCCAGAGAACCCACUGGAAAUAAGGCUCAAAAUAAGGAGUAACCACAAAAUAAGAGACAGAGAAUGCUGAUUCACUAUGCAGUGAAACAUGCCUAACGUGUCAACAGCUAAAUGCCCGGUGACAGUGUGGUUGUCUGGGCAACAGAAGAAGUCACCCACGCAAACACUUAAAGGACCAUACUUAUUUUACAAGAGGAACAGUUUUCAAUGGAAUGGAUAUUAAAACACACACCUGGAUCCCUUUACCACAGGUGCUUUGAGAGGCACCAUCAAGGACAGUGAGCUAACGCAGGAGAAUGGAGUCCCAGAAACCUAGGAGGAGAAGACAAAGUGUCAGCCUCUCGGCAUCUGCAGUGUUGCUAGGAAAAGAGCUCUGAUCCCAGGGGCUUACCCACUUCCACAGGUAGGAAGCGUCCCUGAGAGGACUGGAACAUUAGCAUAUCUCAGAUCCAUCUGCAAAACUUUUGCAAACACGGAACUCCCUCGUUCUAAUCUUAUCAGCAACUUCCAGAGCUGAACCUUGAUUAAUCUGGAUACAAAAAGGAUUGAAACGCCACAUAAUAAGCAUUAACAGGAGGGUGUUUCCUUUAUCAAUGAAGCUUGAUUUAUCCAUGAUGAUCUAGUGCAUUCUCCUCCCAAAAAUCAGGAUCAUCCUCUGCAUAUGAAGGAACAGACAAGCCCUCAGCUCUACCACUUUGGAGAGGGGGGGAUUGGACAGCAUGAGCCUUCAAUUGUAUCUCUUGGAUGACCAAGGAAGGCUGGAUUUCUGCACCUAAAAAAUGGAAGCACAAACUGUACAACAAAUACUCUCCAUUCAAGUUGAAGUUCUCAAAUAAGUUCCGUGAAAAAGUUGGUUCAAAUCAUUCAGCCUGGCAUUACUGGAAAUCUCUAACAAGAUUUACAGCGGUGCCACCCCAAUGAAUUCCACCACACUGAAUUCAUUGUUCAUUGAGAGAGAUUAGAAAAUGAAGAUACCAUGCCCCUUGGCUUCCCUGCUAAAGGAGACACUGGGAAAGGAGAGGAAUCUGACACUUUGGGGGUGCGACCCAGCAAUCUGCACUCUGUCAAACUCGUGAGGUGAUGCCCAUGCAUGCACAACUUGGAGCACAUCGUCUGACCUCAGGUAAUCACGGUGAUCCCAGCUGCAUUCAUUUCUUGGGGCUGCCAGAACAAACUACCGCAGACGGAACGGCUUCAGAAGAAAUAUGUAUUCUUUCCCAGUUGUGGAGGCCGGAAGUCUGAGAUCAAGAUGUUGGCAGAACUGGUUUCUUGUGAGACUGAGGGAAGGAUCUGUUCCAGGCUUCUCUUCUUGGCUUGUAGAUGGCCAUCUUAUCCCGGUGUCUCUUCUCAUUGUCUUCCUUUAAGUGUGCCUGGGUCCAGGUUUUUCCAUUUCAUAAGGACACGGUCACAAUAGAUUAGUGCCUACAUUCAUGAUUUUUUUCUUAACUAAUUACAUCCACAACAAUCUAUUUCUAAAUAAGGUCACACUGGGGGUUAGGACUUCACUGCAACUUUGAGGGGACACAUUUCAACCCAUAAUGCCAUCCCAUGCCAGUGGGAAGCUUAAGGACCAGGCAAAUGCUUAGCAGAGCGUGGCUUUCCCUGAGUCUACGGUUCUUGGCUGGGCAAGUGACUUAGCUACUUAGCUUGCACCUGGCAGGUGUUGACUAAAGGCAUGCUCACUUUUCCCUCUGCACGUGAAGGAAUAAAAACAAUACUGGGAAUUCUACAACUUGUUUGGUAUGUAGUGGUGAGUCUGACAUUGUGUGGAGCAAGGCUGGAAGUCACCAAAACCUGACUCUUUAAAAAUCUCUAAGUUCCUGGACCAGUAGUUUUCAAACCGCUCAUGCCCUCUGGACUUGCGAUUAAUGCCCUAAGAGUCUCUAUUUUAUACAACAGCUUGAGCUGGGGUCUUAGGAAUCUGCCACUGAAAUUUGCUGCACACACUUAUAUAGAUAUAGGUAUUUUUGAACUUGUAUCAUGCCAACAUAUUCUUUUUUAGCUUGAUUUUAUUUUUUAUUUAGCAAUAUAUUAUAUGCUGAGACCAGCUCGG